GACGAACGCUGGCGGCGUGCUUAACACAUGCAAGUCGAACGGAAAGGCCCUGCUUGCCGGGUACUCGAGUGGCGAACGGGUGAGUAACACGUGGGUGAUCUGCCCUGCACUUCGGGAUAAGCCUGGGAAACUGGGUCUAAUACCGGAUAGGGGCCAUUUUUAGUGUGAUGGUUGGAAAGUUUUUUCGGUGUAGGAUGAGCUCGCGGCCUAUCAGCUUGUUGGUGGGGUAAUGGCCUACCAAGGCGGCGACGGGUAGCCGGCCUGAGAGGGUGGACGGCCACAUUGGGACUGAGAUACGGCCCAGACUCCUACGGGAGGCAGCAGUGGGGAAUAUUGCACAAUGGGCGCAAGCCUGAUGCAGCGACGCCGCGUGGGGGAUGACGGCCUUCGGGUUGUAAACUCCUUUCGCUAGGGACGAAGCUUUUGUGACGGUACCUAGAUAAGAAGCACCGGCUAACUACGUG
This 464-nucleotide ribosomal RNA is filed under the name uncultured bacterium. RNAcentral describes it as "partial 16S ribosomal RNA". It matches the Rfam family "Bacterial small subunit ribosomal RNA", at positions 28 to 507 of the family's 1533-position model. The record is from RNAcentral.